GAUGGUUGAUCGAGAGAUUUGAAGCAGAAAGAAUAUGUUAAUUGAUUUGCACCUCAACUAUUUAAAUACAAAAGUUCAAGCUAAAAAUAGAAAAAAAAAGUUCUAAAAAUCUGCUAAAAAUCUGGUAACAAAAUAGCAAACAAAUAAAAAAUCUAAUCUCCUAAAGUCAAGGAGAAUUAUUCAAACUUAGUAACAGAAAAAAUUAAAUGGCAGCAAUCUUAAACAUAUAAUCUUAAACAUAUAGCCUUCAUAGCUUGUAAUAGCUACUGUGCCUUUUCCCUUGACUUCCAAGUACU
RNAcentral lists this long non-coding RNA (296 nucleotides) under Gossypium raimondii (Peruvian cotton). Its description in RNAcentral is "long non-coding RNA (GRAI_LNC002259)". Lineage: Eukaryota; Viridiplantae; Streptophyta; Magnoliopsida; Malvales; Malvaceae. The record is from RNAcentral.